UAUUACCGACGGAUCACCAGAACGCUGCAGUUGUCAUUGUCAGAGUGACCGAUAUACUCUGUUUUCCUGGGACGCUGAAUCUAAGAACUGUGUAUGUGGAACAGCAAUAAAACCGACUGGGACGGAAAACUUGACUGUUAUCUCAGGCAUUUACAAUUGCUUAAAUGAUGUCAACCAGCCUACUACAACAGUACAAUUUGAAGGAGGACAAGAUACAGGAGAAGAAUAUUGUAAUAUUAAACCAGCCUGUAUUAAAGAAGGGGUCACCUAUUAUAGUAACGACGCUGACGGAAAUUAUGUAACGCUCAAGCCCGGAUCAGCAGAAGACUGCAGCUGUCAUUGUUCUAAACUGAGGAUAGAA
This is a long non-coding RNA of Eurytemora carolleeae, 361 nucleotides long. RefSeq lists it as uncharacterized. The transcript is spliced from 4 exons. Lineage: Eukaryota; Metazoa; Arthropoda; Copepoda; Calanoida; Temoridae. The record is from RefSeq and is a predicted model, not a curated record.